RNAcentral lists this transfer RNA (73 nucleotides) under Stegodyphus mimosarum. It matches the Rfam family "tRNA". Rfam says of the family: Transfer RNA (tRNA) molecules are approximately 80 nucleotides in length. Their secondary structure includes four short double-helical elements and three loops (D, anti-codon, and T loops). The record is from Rfam by way of RNAcentral. Lineage: Eukaryota; Metazoa; Arthropoda; Arachnida; Araneae; Eresidae.
GCUUUCGUGGUGUAGUGGUCAGCACGCUCGGCCCAUAUUCGAGAGGUCCGUGGUUCGAAUCCCGGAGAGAGCA